Solanum lycopersicum (tomato) is the source of this 2522-nucleotide long non-coding RNA. RefSeq lists it as uncharacterized. NCBI's taxonomy places the organism in Eukaryota, Viridiplantae, Streptophyta, Magnoliopsida, Solanales, Solanaceae. The record is from RefSeq and is a predicted model, not a curated record.
UGACAAACAAAAGUUUAAGUUAAUAAAAACCCUUUCAAAAAACCUCUCUGAAGAUAUAAACUAAGUUAAAGAAUGGAGAAAUCAGAAAUCAAGUCAGAUAUUAUAGAUAGCAUGAAAAAUCAAGAGACAAAGACUUCAAAUUCUUUGCGAAGGACUUCAAGUUGUUGUUGUUUCACUCUUGUUGUACCAACAUACUUUCCUUUCAUUAAAUCCCAAAUCUAUUUCGAGGUAUCUUUUGAAGAAUGGUCUCCAGUAUGCCAGUAUGGGAUAAUCUAUUUCUUGGAAUAGAUAAUUUUUAGCUUUGACAUCCUUCAGUCUUUCCUUAUCCAAAACCUUCAGUUGAGAUUUUGCUAUCACCACACCACAAUCUGGUUCACUGAAACCAGCCUCUAUAAUGCUCCAGAACUCCUUUGAACACAAGAAGUUUUUCAUCGACAUGCUCCAAUAAUAAUAGUGACCAUCAAAGCAGGGAAUAGCAGGUUGGAUGAAAUUUUUACUUUCAGAUGUAAUCAACACUUGUUGCUACAAGAUACCAAGUAAGUUGCGGUUUAUUUUUUCACAACUCACUAUAAGUCUAGCGCUGAUACCACUAUUGAGUUCAAUUGAGUAAACAGUAAUCAGAAAUAUAGAUGUUCUUAUUGAUCGGAGACUCUCCAAAUAAAUAGACAUUACAUAUAAACCUGAUUCCUAAAUAUAAGCAACUAAACACACCUACAACUAAUGAACUCCUAAAACCAGUAACAAUGAUAUCUUCCUAAAGAAAAGGUCCACUAAAAAUCAAUUUUUUUUAUUUUGCUAAUUUAAAAAACUCAACAAAAGUUCAAUUAAUAUGAAAUAAAAUGAGCUUCAUGUUUCAUGUUCUUUAAUCAAAACACAUCUUUUUUCCAAAAAAAAAGAAUAUAAAUGUUUUCGAAUAUUAACUUCUAAAGUAGAUUGUGAUCUAUUCGUGAAUAUGUGUUUAACUAUGGGUCAAUCUAUUUUUAACCCAAUCCAUCGGUCAUCCAAUUAUUUUUACGUUUAGUGUAAGGGAAGAUGAAAUGGGGGAAGAUGUCAUGAGGGGAGGUGAUAACAUGUUGAGAAAUUGAAUACUCCCUAGGUUAUUCUACCUCCUAUUAUUUCUUAAGAUAUAGACGAUUUAAAAAUAAAUAUUUUACUAAAGAUGAAUAAAUACCUAUUUGUAGAUUGGAAAGACUAGAUCUUAUCCUUGUUACUCAAUAAUAAAUUUAACAUCUUUUUUAGGUUUAAAGGGCUUUCUUGAAUCUUAGGAGAAAAUUAGAAUUCAGAGAAUUAAACUUCAUUUUUAAGACAACAAUAUUGAUGGGGUAAGCGGAUGUAUUGUGUAAAUUUUAUUAGGGAAAUACGUUUAAUCAUUUUCAAAAGGUAAUUCAUUUAAACAUGACUCUAGAAUCCAAAAAAAUCAAGUCAUGUAAGAAUAAUAUCAAGACAUGAACUACAAAUAGUUGUAGAUAAAGAAAAAAAAAGUAGUGAAUAGAAAGAAUUUACACCUUGCUUACUCAUUAAUUUAAUUUUGUAAAAAACUAUGGAGAUGAUGCACUGUAAAUAUUGAUUUUUUUCAUCGUCACAGAUGUCCUCCUCUUAACUUAUAUGAGUUCUCUUUAUCUCAGCCGCCGCAGAUGGAAGGCAUACAGUAUGAUGUGAUGAGACUAGUAGAACACAACUAUAUAUAUUAAAUAAAGAUGAGACUCUAGGGUUUCUUGAAGAUUCUACUAACUUUGCUAAUGGACAUUUUCAAAACUCAAUUUGCAAACUAGCCCUAUGUCUUAGUUUAUUGGACCAAAAGACACCAUUCAUCAUUUAAAUUUUAAAAAUUCUAAACCUUAUACCUAGGUCUGAAAUAAUAUUAAAUAUUUUCUAUCAUCAAAACCUUUGAAGACUAAAUUAUCAGCCUCAAAGUCUUAAAUUGCAAAUUAGUUUUUUCAUCUUCAAAGUUUAAAAUACACGAUUUAGAGUAGAAAUAAUAAUAAAUUUCUUCGCUUCCAAAGAUCUCGAUUUUUCUACUUGCUGACCCCCUUCUAUAGCAAAAAAUUUAGGUCAUUCGUUAAUAAAUUGCUCUCCAAUGAUAAAAUUAUUGUCCAAAUCAUCUAUUAUAUUAUUUAUAGUUCUAAAUCAUUGUUAUUUCUAAUUAUUUUUUUCAUUGUUUUAAGUGCUCAAGCACUUUACCAACAAUCAUCGACUACCCUCUUUGUUGAAGAUGGAUUAUGAACAAGUAUAUCUAUUACAUAUCGAUUUGUGUCAAUUAUAAUAAAUCACUUAAUAUUUUUUAAAAUAAUUACAUAUUCUAAUAUAUAAGAGUCUCUUUCCAUUUUAUUUGUUUGUAAAAACAAAUAUUAUAUUAAUAAGACUUAUAGGCAUUAUUACAUGGAUUGUUUGUGAAAUUGUUGUUUAGUAUGUGGGUAGAGGGGUCGUACAAUAUAAAUUACAAAAGACAUGAGUAGUAGAUUAUCCUAAACAAAGAGUUCCCUCCAUGUUUGCUUCUCUCUUAUUGGACAAAAACAAAGGUU